RNAcentral lists this ribosomal RNA (978 nucleotides) under marine metagenome. Its description in RNAcentral is "bacterial LSU rRNA". It matches the Rfam family "Bacterial large subunit ribosomal RNA", at positions 1951 to 2925 of the family's 2925-position model. The record is from RNAcentral.
CUAAGGUAGCGAAAUUCCUUGUCGGGUAAGUUCCGACCUGCACGAAUGGUGUAACCAUGGCCACGCUGUCUCCACCCGAGACUCAGUGAAAUUGAAAUCGCAGUGAAGAUGCUGUGUACCCGCACCUAGACGGAAAGACCCCGUGAACCUUUACUACAGCUUGGCACUGAACAUUGAACCUACAUGUGUAGGAUAGGUGGGAGGCUAUGAAACAUUGUCGCUAGAUGAUGUGGAGCCGUCCUUGAAAUACCACCCUUGUAUGUUUGAUGUUCUAACAUAGGCCCCUUAUCGGGGUUGUGGACAGUGUCUGGUGGGUAGUUUGACUGGGGCGGUCUCCUCCCAAAUAGUAACGGAGGAGCACGAAGGUUAGCUAAUCACGGUCGGACAUCGUGAGGUUAGUGCAAUGGCAUAAGCUAGCUUAACUGCGAGACAGACACGUCGAGCAGGUACGAAAGUAGGUCAUAGUGAUCCGGUGGUUCUGAAUGGAAGGGCCAUCGCUCAACGGAUAAAAGGUACUCCGGGGAUAACAGGCUGAUACCGCCCAAGAGUUCAUAUCGACGGCGGUGUUUGGCACCUCGAUGUCGGCUCAUCACAUCCUGGGGCUGGAGCAGGUCCCAAGGGUAUGGCUGUUCGCCAUUUAAAGUGGUACGCGAGCUGGGUUUAGAACGUCGUGAGACAGUUCGGUCCCUAUCUGGUGUGGGCGUUGGAAGAUUGAUGGGAGCUGCUCCUAGUACGAGAGGACCGGAGUGGACGAACCGCUGGUGUUCGGGUUGUUUUGCCAAAGGCAUUGCCCGGUAGCUACGUUCGGAACGGAUAACCGCUGAAAGCAUCUAAGCGGGAAGCCGGCCCAGAGAUGAAUCUUCCCUGACCUUUAAGGUCUGGAAGGGUUGUCGCAGACGACGACGUUGAUAGGCAGGGUGUGGAAGCGUUGUAAGGCGUUAAGCUAACCUGUACUAAUUGCCCGUGAGGCUUAACCAU